This 447-nucleotide long non-coding RNA is filed under the name Homo sapiens (human). Its description in RNAcentral is "HSALNT0117910". The record is from RNAcentral. Lineage: Eukaryota; Metazoa; Chordata; Mammalia; Primates; Hominidae.
GCCAGGCACAUGGCUCACGCCUGUAAUCCCAGCACUUUGGGAGCCUGAGGCAGGCGGAUCACCUGAGAUCGGGAGUUUGAGACCAGCCUGACCAACAUGAAGAAACCCCCUCUCUACUAAAAAUACAAAAUUAGCCGGGCAUGGUGUCAUAUGCCUGUAAUCCCAGCUACUUUGGAGGCUGAGGCAGGAGAUUUGCUUGAACCUGGGAGGCGGAGGUUGUGGGGGAGGAUUUUUUUUAAAGUUCCUCAGAUAAUUCAAAUGUGCAGCCCAGUUGGAAGACCCCUGCUCUAAGUUGAAAAGUUUGUCUUCUUCCUGUGAACAUUUCCAGAGUAUUUACUGUUUAUCAAAAUUUGUAUGGCUAGCAGCUGGGCACAGCAGCUCACACCUGCAAUCUCAGCAUGUUGGGAUCACAGGCAUGAGCCAUCAUGCCCAACCAUUGAAUGCUUU